UUUUUUCUUUGUUUUCGUUAAAGUCAGUUUUUAGUUUUCAGUCCCUAAUUAAUAACCACUCUCUCUCUCUCUCUUGCUGCACCCAAAGAAAAUCUCUCGUAGCAAAAAAAAAAAAAACUCUUUUCUUUCUAUCUCUCUCUCUCUCUCCCCAUCCCAUCACAAUCUCCAUCUCCAUCUCCAUCUUCAUCUCCAUCUCUGUCUCUUGUAUAAAGAUAAAUCCCACAAGUCUUAAAACUAUUCUCUUCUCUCUCUCUCUCUCUCUUCACCAUGACUGAUCCUUAUUCCAAUUUCUUCACAGACUGGUUCAAGUCCAAUCCUUUUCACCAUUACCCUAGUUCCUCCUCUAACCCUUCUCCUAGUAACCUUCCUCCUCCUUCUCUUCCCACUCCCUCUUCCUUCUUCUUCUUCCCUCAAUCCGGCGACCUCCGUCGUCCACCACCGCUACCAACCCCUCCUCCUUCUCCUCCUCUCCGUGAAGCCCUCCCUCUCCUAAGUCUCAGCCCCGCCAACAAACAACAAGACCACCAUCACAGCCAUGACCAUCAAAAUCAAGAACCACCUUCCACCUCCAUGGAUGUCGACUACGACCAUCAAGAUGAUCAUAACCUCGAUGACGAUGACCAUGACGUCACCGUCGCUCUUCACAUAGGCCUUCCAAGCCCUAGUGCUCAAGAGAUGGCCUCUUUGCUCAUGAUGUCUUCCUCUUCGUCUUCCUCGAGGACCACCCUUCAUCAUGACGAUUUGAAUCACAAGAAAGAUCUCGACCAUGAUUACAGCCACGGCGCCGCCGAAGGAGGAGAAGAUGACGAUGAAGAUUUAGUCGGCGGAGACGGCGGCUGUAGAAUCAGCAGACUCAACAAGGGUCAAUAUUGGAUCCCUACACCUUCUCAGAUUCUCAUUGGUCCUACUCAGUUCUCAUGUCCUGUUUGCUUCAAAACCUUCAAUAGAUACAACAACAUGCAGGUUCUUUACUAAUCAUACUCUCCUUACUCUAAAUCUCUUACAUAUCUCUGUCUCUGUGCGCAUAACUUCUUUCAAGAAUUUCGUUUUCUUUUCCAUGAAAAUCGACUUUUAUUUUCUGAGUAAACCCAAAAGGUAAAAACCAAAGCAAAUAUGUUUGUUCACUGAAUUUCCUCGAAAAAUACAAAAAACGUUCUCACCUUUAAUCGGUAAAUAUAUAUAUAUAUAUAUAUAUAUAACAUACUGUUUUCAAAUCAAUCAAUGGACGUGUCUUUGCUCACUGAUGCAUGAAUAAAUCAUUGCAUUACAAAGAACCGAGAGACUUGAGACUGUGAAGACUGGGACUGAGAUUUAACAAGACAGUAAAUGUUCUUUAUGUCUUUAGUACUUUCAAGUCUCUGUGGUUUUGCUGCUUUUCUCUACAAUAUUGGCAAGUGUGUCAUCCUUCUUUUGUAUGAGGGUCUUUAAAUGCCUAACGUGUAAAAUAACAGUAGUCAUACAAUUUCUCAUACCUAUAUAUUCAAAAUUAAUAUACAUAGAUAUAUAUACAUGUAUGGCUUUUCAUAUAUAUAUAUAUACUCGGUAAAUGAGCUUCAUAAGAUUUUGUAUUGAACGUACUCAACAUCUUGUUUUCUAGUUUACUACUAGGCUUUGAUUAAUUUGUUUACCGUACCUACGCAUGCAUUGACAUAUCUUAUUAUUAUUUUAUUUUCUUUUUUUGUUCAAGAAUUUAGUUUCUAUGAUUUUAAUUACAUUUCAGCAUUUACUUAACAUCUUGUUGAAUGAAUAUUUGUUGUCUUUUUACAUAUGCUUCAAGGUUGAUAUAUAUGGGUAAUUAAUAUCAAUGGAGAUAAAUAUAUAAGCUAGUUAGAGUAAUCAUCAUAACAUUGAUCUUCUAGUUAAUAUAUGUUAAUUUGCUGGCUAAUUAUAUAAGGUAAUCAUUACAAAGUAUCGAAGACACAUGUAACUAAAAUGGCUAACAGACAUAUCCUAAGCUAAAGUUUCAAGACGCACACUUUAUGAAUUUUCGAAAAUAUACUACUAUAAGUUAUUAAAACCCUACUUGAGUACAUGAUCAUAUAUACUUGCAUGAUUUUGUUUACAGAUGCAUAUGUGGGGACACGGAUCACAAUACAGAAAGGGACCAGAAUCUCUAAGGGGAACUCAGCCAACAGGAAUGCUAAGGCUUCCAUGCUAUUGCUGUGCACCAGGCUGUCGCAACAAUAUUGACCAUCCAAGGGCAAAGCCUCUCAAAGACUUCAGAACACUUCAAACACAUUAUAAGAGGAAACAUGGGAUCAAACCUUUCAUGUGUAGGAAAUGCGGAAAAGCUUUUGCGGUCCGAGGGGACUGGAGAACACAUGAGAAGAAUUGUGGUAAGCUUUGGUAUUGCAUCUGCGGAUCAGAUUUCAAGCACAAGAGAUCUCUCAAAGAUCACAUCAAGGCUUUUGGUAAUGGCCAUGGAGCGUAUGGCAUUGAUGGGUUUGAUGAAGAAGAUGAGCCUGCCUCUGAGGUAGAACAGUUAGACAAUGAUCAUGAGUCAAUGCAGUCCAAAUAGCUUAUAUAAUUUAGUAUAAGUACUUAGUAAUUCGGUAUAUAUAUUAAUUAUAAGAAUCCUAAAUCUAUGGACCAAGUUUUGAUGGAGGUAGAGCUUUUCAAAGUAAAAGCUAUACCAUCUAAUUGAUCAUAGAAAAAAACGAAUCAAGAUCACUUGGAAAUUUUUAAAUUGUAUCUCUAGCUUUCUAGUCAAAUUUAUUACAAGGCAAUGUAGCAGUCUCUAACUUAUGAGGUUUCAACGGUUUCUAUUUGUAUAAUUUAUUUUUUUCAUUAAUUAGUUUUGCCUUUCGUUGUGAAAAAAAAAAAUUAUAAUAAACGUUUGAUUUAUACUUGUUAGGAUAUAUAGUAAAAGACUAGAAAAGUAGAUGCUACAUCCAUGCAUGCAUUAUGUUAAAAAAUUCUCUACAUAUGUACCAUAUUCUAGAUCGAAAUGAAUAUUUCUAAAUUUAAUUAAUUUGAGUAAUUAAUGAUAGAUUCUAGUUUUUUGAUUCCCAAAAGAUAUUAGUUUUCUGGUGGAGUUAUCUUUGAAUUUAUUGUAUAAGAAUACCUAUGAUACUUAAUUGUCUAGUGACAUCAUGGAGAAUAAUGAGAGAAUGGACACUAGAGAAUAUUACUACUCAAGUGCAGACCUUUAUUAAGAAGAUCAAAUACCAAUUUAUACAUUAUCUUUCUUUGAUAGUUGGUUGUUUUGAAAAUAAUGUGAUGAUGCUACUACGUACGUAUACCAUAUGUUUUGAGCAUAUAUAAUGCAUAAAGUUUAUACAUGUAUAUGUAAUUAACAGAGUACUUACAAGUAGCUACGUACCAUGAAAAAUAAAAUGUUUAAAAUAAAUGACUAAUUUUCCCCUAUGAAACUGCUAUUUUGUAUAAUAUUCUAAGCUAUUUUACAAAAAUACAUACUCAAGUUUGAAUACAUAAACGCAUAAAGAAACGUAAUAUAUAUAUAUAUGUAUAUAUAUACUUAAUUUGUUCAUUAAUUUUUGUUUGGAUUUUUCUCAAAAAAUUGCCUUAUAUUAUUCUUUCGAAUUAAUAAUCACCAAAGGAAUAUUGCAUUUGUUAUUAACGUGCAUGCAGCUUAUUAAUUAGCUAGCGGUUUCUUGAUCUUACUAUAUAUAAAAGUUAAUCGGACAACAAGUGAUUGUCUUAUAAUUCUAGUUACAGUUUUAGUUGUGUGUCAGUUUGUUGGUAAUGUAGAAUUCAAGAUCCAAUUCGGAUAUGAUUGUAUAACUAAGAUUACAGUUAAAGAGAGGCUUUUAUCUUCCUGCAAAGAGAUCUUUUCAAUAUGCUCCUUUUUUUUUUUCUUUUUUUCUCUUCUCCUUUUUGGGUUAGUGGACAGACAUAUUUGCUCGAUGAAGGAACAUUACACCUUUUUAUCUAUAUAUGAUUCACUUUUAAAAAUCCCAUCUUAAAAUUCGAAACCAAAUGAUGAUCAUCUCUCGACUCAGGCAUAUACACACACAGAGAUUGACCUAAUUUUCGUUUUAUGUAUAAAGGUAUGCAUAAACAGUGAAUAUUCCUUCAGGUCCUGUAAUUUCAUACGUAUGCAUGCAGUCAUGUACACGUGUAUGUAUGUGUACAUGAAUAUGAUGAUCAAUGGGUGAAGAAGGAGCACAAAGUAAUGUGAAGGAGAGUGAUAAAAAAACAAAAGAGAAGAGAGAGUGGAGCCCUAAGGGUGUGAUGGGUUGGGCAGAUUUGGGAGCAAAGAUUGAUGGUAUCAACAGUUCUCUUUUUUUAUUGCUCUCUCUCUCUCUCUCUCUCUCUCACUGUUAUUUGAUUUGACAUCUCAUUUUCUUUCCUUUUCCUUUGACCAUCUCUCUAUCGUUCUCUCUCUACACACACACUCUCACACAAAUGACCCAACUUUCAUCAUCUCCUCCAAUCAAAACCCACAUGCUUGCCCUCUUUUGUAUUCAUUUCAUUAUAUCCAAGGUUACACUUGCACAUAUUUUUUGGUGUAUAAUUGAUCACCCUAAUAUUUUACCUUAGUUUAAUUUGAUACAUAAACCAAGUAAGUUAUAUAACCUAUUUUCGUUCUAAUUUUUUUUUUUAAUUCUGGUUAUUUGUUAAGGAUAAAAUUUUUUGCAUCAAAUGCAUGAAAUGAAUAUGGUGAUGCACGAAGAAAAUUCAAGUUUAUGGAUUGUUUGUUUUUUUUUCUUUUCUUACAUUGGUCGUCACAAGCUGAAAUUAAAACAGUAGAAAAACUGGAAAAGCUAAGAACGAACAUCUUUAAAAAUUGAUGUAGGAUUCAGACAACAUUUAUUGCCAAUCAAUAUCCUACCCCUUUGUUGGGAGAAAUAGACCAUCCAUACCUCUCUUCCUUUGACCCCCUCUCCCUCUCAUCUUAUCUUCCCAACACUUCUCCAGAAAUUUCUACCGCUAUAUAGAUUUAUUUGUUGGUAUAUAAAUAAACAUUACUCCAGUACUUAUUAAGUGUGCAUGCAUGGUUCCUAGCUAUUGAAUGUUAGAUCAUCUUUUAUAUAUACGUACGCGGUAAAAAUGCAAGUGAUGCGUUGACGACAGAUGAUAACAUAUAUAUGUACGUAGCAAAAGUUUUCACUAUUCGUGUAAACUAACUCUUUUUAUUAUAUACGUACGAUAGAAAACUUAUAGAUAAACUUUUGUCACUUUAUAUUUUUUUUGGAGUCUAUAUCUAUUAUAGCUUUAUAUAUGAUUAAGCUAUAAAACAAGUCCAACAGUUUUUAAAUCACUUUUACAAAGUUAAAUUAAAAAGUGGUUAAAAGCAAGAACCACAACUUUUGUUUUUGAUAUGAUAUUAUAAAUGAUUCAUAGAUUUGAUGAACAUAGUAAGACUUUGAAUUCUAAUUUUGCAUCUUAAUUAUGAACAUAUAUUUCUAUCUAAAACUCUCAUUUAUUUAGAAAUUAUGUCUCCAGUUAAAGGUCUAUAAAACACAUGCUUACAGUACUCCGAUUAAAAUAAAUAUAGAUCGCAAACAACAGAAACAUAAAAGGUAAAUGAAAAAUUAUUGAUUAUGUAUACUGUAUUAGUUAAAAAGUUUUUCGAAUCUCGAAACUGAAUUGUUCUCUGUGAGUGUGCAUUUAUCUAAGAAGACAUUUUCAAAAUCCGAGCAAUAUAUAUUUGAUUUUUUUAUACUGUGUUGCCGGAAAGAAUCCGAACAUUGGACUUCUUCACUUUGUUCCGUAAUUAUGCUGUUAUAUUACCUAUUACAUUUAUAAAACCUAAGUUUAUACAUUGGUUGUUUAACGUAGACAAAAUUUUCUUGUCUGACAAAAAACUUAAAUGAAAAAGGCCUUAAUUCCUGCUUUUUUAAAAUCCCGAAGCUAUAUUCUACUAAAUCCGUUAAACGAAAUUUUAAUUACUUUACACUUUCCUAUGUUCAUGUCGAGAAAUGCAAAAAUGUGUAAGUGAAAUUGGGAACUACUGUUCAUAUUCCAAGGCUGAUCUGAAGGAGACAGCUUUGUCUGCCGUGGCUCAAAUCUCCAUCUCCUACAUUUAAUUUAAUAUAAUGGACACACACGUACGUACACUGUAUAUAUAUAUAUAUAUAUAUAUCUCUUUUAUACAUUAUGGAAGAAAAAUCUUCUUUUGACGUAUUCGUUUUGUCUAUACAUACAUAAUCGUUAUAAAUGAAAGAAAAAUAUACAUUUCGAAUUAGUAUUAACUAUUAAAUAUCAUCACAUAAAGAAGAUUAAUGUAGCUAUCUAUGAUUUUCGACAACUUUGUUUGAAGGAGGCCCCAACAUGCAAAAAAGAUAAAGGGAGAAAGAGGCCAAAUUGAGCUUGACUCAUGAUUAAUCACGGGUACCUCAAAAGAGCAUAUAAUAAAAAAAUGAAAAAAAAUUAAAUUUCAUAUAUAUUUUCAAAAGCAUAAUUGUAUAUAUUAAAAAACAUUUAUAUAUGGACGUAAGAAAACAACAUAUGUAUAUAUAUAUAUAUACACACAUAAUUAUUAUCUUUAUUUAAAUUAGUAUGAUACAAUAUUUCUCUAUUAGACACUAGUAAGAAAAAUGACGACAUAUAAGAGGGCAGUAUCUAUCUUUAUUAGACAUCAUACAUAUAUUAGGGUAUAUAUUUAAUCCAAUUCUUAAACACCAAAAAAGAAGAGAAGAGAGUUUAUUGAGAAUCAAACCACUGUCAAACUCUCGAGCUCUGUAUAUAAUAUAAUUUUGUUCAUAUAUGAAUUACUAAAAUAUAUAUAUUUUUUUCCUAUGAAUUUAUUUAAAGAUUGUUUUAGUCGUAACUGUUUUUGUAAUCUGAUCACAAAUGCAUAAAAUUAAAGUUAAAUUGUAUAUGUGUAAUUAAAUAAAUUAAUUCAGACCUUUUAAUUUCUGGAUUUUAAUGUAACAAUUACAAGUAGAACCAGCUUGAGAAAACUUAUUAAUAUCCAGCUAGCUGUUCUGCGUGCAUUAUUAGCGAUCGAACGAGUGAUACUAUGAACAAUAUAAUAUAAAUCUUAUAUAAACAAAAGAAUAUAUGAUCCAAUUAGCGAAGUAAUAUAUAUAUAUAUAUAUAUAUUAUGGUAAAAAAUCUUAAAACACUUUUUCUUUCUUUCUUGUGAUACAAAUAAUAAUAGAUAUAUCUUAAUUAGAAGAGAGAUGAGUGAGCUAGAGAGGUAUUCGUUAGCUCGUGAUGAUUGUCCGAGCGUGUUCUUUUGUCCAUAUUCUUUAUUUGAUCAACUUUAUUUUGUUUUUGCUACUCCUGUUAAAGCUUAUUUGAUCAUCAUGCCUCUCGUAGAUUCUCCAAGUUGUAUGUUGUGUUGGGUUUCUUUCACCAGCGAAUAUUAUCUCAAGGAAAUAUAAAAUUAAAUAAAAUGAAAAACACUUUUUCCUGUCAAGUUUCAUUUUCUAGUAAUAUUAUCAAAUCUUUAUAUAUAUACACUAAUGAAUUUGAAACAUCAUUAUUGAAGGGGGUCUUCGAAAACUAAGUUUUUAUACACAUACAUAUAUAUAUAUAUAUAUAUAAUAUGAUAAUAGUGAAAUGAUAGUUCAUUCAUAUUAUCUGUAUGGUCACGAGUGUGACGCUUUUUAUUCAACGUUUUCAUGCAUAUAUAUGAAUCAUCUAUGACGUACGCACGUAUGGAUUUAUGUAUAUGUGUGUGUGUGUGUGUGAAGUGAAGCACUGAAGCUAGAGCGUGAGAUUAUCACAGAAGGGAGGGGGCAGAGAUGAUAUCAGGAGAAAGAAGUAAUAGAAACAAAAAAGGUGGUACGAUCGAAAAUCAAAUCUGGUUUUUUUUUUUCCUUUCGAUUAGAGAAGAAAAAUAUAUAUAAAUAUGAUUGGACAUGGCAUCGACUUUUUUUUUUUUUUUUUUUUUUUUUUUUUUUUUUGUCUUUCCAAUUACUUUGAGGAGAGAUUCUAUUUUGAGGUUAACAUAACUCCAAAGAAAAUACCCACACUCACUCUUUUCCCCCAAGUUUUACCCAUCAAACCUUUCCUACAUUAAUUACCCCUAAAAGUGUAUGAUGAUCAUCUAUAUACAUCCCUGUAUAGUUGUUUUUAACCUCAAUAUUAACAAAUUUACUUGGUUUACUUUGAUAUUAAUUGGAAGAUGACCAUCAAUAUCAUCAAGUGGUAUAUAUGAUUGGUCAACUAUAUAUAUAUAUAUAUAUAUAUAUAUAUAUAUAUAUAAGUUUUGUUUACAUUAUAAUAGUUUUAGUAUGUUACUUCCAUUUGCAAUAGUGACAAGAACAAAGAAAUGGACCACAUAACAUAAGUAAAUUGUCAGUGAAGGUAUUUUUUCAUUCAGGUACUCUUUUCUUUUAUGAACAGUAGACUUUGCAUAAGACCAGCUCUCUCUGCUAUCCUCUCUCACAUAAUUAUUUUUCCUAUAUAUAUAUAUUUUAAAGAAUUUUCUUUAUAUAUAUUUGUUUUUUGAAUCUUUUUAUUUUCAACCUUCUCUUUCUGUCUGCAACAAUGUGCUUUAAGUGAAAUGUGUCUUUAUCUCCUUUCCCAUACCUCCUUUGUUUUCUUUUUUGUGUUCAUUUACUUUUCAUAAAACUAACCAAAAUUUAAUAAAGAUGAAUUUCUUACUGUUCUUUUUAUAAAGAAAAGCUACGUACUCUUGAUUUUAUAUACUUUCUUUUCGUUAGGGGUAUAAUUCGCUUAUUUUCUCUAUGUAUAUUGUUUUUCGUUUUUUUUUUACGAAGAGUACUAUUUUAUAUAUAGAGAGACGACGACCCAAAGCAAAGGACCACAUCUGCGUGCAUCCUGGUUACUAGGUAAGUUCGUCUACAUAUACUGAGAUUAUUAACUUUCAGUUUGAUUGCUUUGAAAACUAUUUUUGUAUCAAUUUAAGGAUCUAUCUUUGUAAUCUAUUUGUUACGUUCUCAUCAUCAAUUCACAUGUAUAGAAAUCGUUGGAAAAAAAAGAUUCACAGCUAUCGAAAUUAAUUUUCGACCUAUCGAUGUAGAUGUAAUUCUCACACGCUUUAGGCCUUUAGCUAUCAUGAAAAAAGAGUUUCAUAUCUUACUUAGUUAUGAGCAAAUGUAUAUCUCUAGAUACGUGUGGUACUUUUAUAUAUCGGUAAUUAAAAUGAAAACCGUUGAUUAAUUAAGAUUUUUUGUCUCGGAACUCAUAACAAAAGGGUACGUACGUUCACGUUGGGACUAAUGUGAAAAGACAAAAUACGAGAGGGAUGGGGUUUUAUGAAUUAUGAGAGGAACCCCAUACUUUAUAUACUUACCUUCCAAAGGGGAAGCAAUCAAUUUGGAGUUGAAGUGUAUGUCCUUCUUCUAAACAUUCCCAUCUCUAAAGUCAAAAACCCUAAAUUUCAGUUCCCAAAUUUUUUUUGAUCGUUUUUUCCCGAUGCAUGCACAUGCAACUCUUUAAUUGAAUUGCAUUCACGUGUCAUGGUGGAUCGAUGGUGAUCAUCUAUGUAUGCCCGAAUAAAACAAGUUACUCAUAUUUGUGUAUUACCUUUUAUAGAAAUUAGUUCUCUUGAGCACACACGCUAACGCUAAAACUUGCAACAAAAAUUUGUAUGAGAUAUUGUGAAAAUUAUUCAAUCAUGUUCAUAAUUUUAUUUUUUUUCGUUUAUGUGGAGUUCGAAUUCAUAUCAUCAAUUAACGAGAUAGAGCUUUGACAACAUUCUGAGGUAUUUGUGAUUUUUGUAUCCAAAUCAAGAUUUGGAAUAUCAUCUAUCUAUUAGACUAUUAUCUAUAGCUAACGACGUCGAUGGUAUAUAUAAAGCCCAAAAGAUGAUUUGUCUUGUAAGUGAAAGCCAAAUCAAACAGAGUGUAACAAGAUCCCUUGUUUAAAAAUUGAAUGUCCCAGUCUGAGGCCCAAAUCGAAGCUCUACUGGGCCUUAUGCCUCGUUGUGUACAAGUCAAUAAUCAAGCCCAUAUUCAGAUAAAACAGAUUUUGACUCUCUCUCUCUCUUCUGGUCCAUCCACAGAUCAUCUCUGAAACAUCACUGACGUAACGUCAGUCACAACACGUGUAGCACAGAUCUUGAUUGAUUCCAGUUCUUCGCUUGGAUACGCAACACAGCAAAGCAACAAUAUCUCUAAAGCCACAGAGAUUCAAGUGGACCUACGUAAAGAAUCUUCCACAAUUUGGUUUAAUAACAGUCGUAAACUUCUUAAACACGUCAUUAGAUUAGCCGAUACAUAAGUACAUUUGUUGUCACUGGGUUAACUGAUUGAUUCAAGUUUCUUCUUCAGACUUAAAAAAAUGGAAAAAGCUGUAACACCAAAACUUGAUAUGCCUCUGUUACACUUCACGAAUUCUCGGAAACCCAAUUCGAUUCCGUCUCCGAUUCUUCGACUCUCGAGCUUCAAUCGUCACAAGAAACGUUCUUGUCUUGCAUCGUCUUCGCGUCCAGGGUUCGAAACAGAGACGAUGACUACUGAUUCGGAGAGCCAUGGUGCCAUAAUGGAAAAUAGUACCGUUGGAAGAAGAUUAAUCGGUUUAGCCGCCGCAGCUGCAGUAGCGGUUUCUUCGUGUUGCGAUUCUCCGGCACUAGCUGAGUCUCUGACUAUCGCUUUCCCUGUUUCACGUGCUCGUGAGGUGAUCGAGCUUUUUCAUUGAGCUCUGUUUCUCUGUUUUAAACGUCUCUGGGAAAUAAAGUUUGGAUUUUGAUGUUUUGUUUAAGGUUACUACAGUACAGAGAACUCUUGUGGAAGCUUGGGGUUUGAUUAGAGAAACGUUCGUUGAUCCUACUUUUAAUCAUCAGGGUAAAGUUCAGAUUUUGAUGAUUUUUUUUGUGGAUUUUGUAGAAUGUUCUCUUGUGGAAAGUGUUCUGAUUUUUGCAGAUUGGGAUUCUAAGCUGCAGCAGACAAUGGUGGAAAUGUUUCCUCUAAGAUCAGCUGAUGCUGCUUAUGGAAAGAUCAAAGCUAUGCUCUCUACCCUUGGUGAUCCUUUUACUCGACUCAUUAGCCCAAAGGUACCAGCAAAGUUUGAUUCUCAAUGAGUGUUGCAGGGCAUGAAUUGAAGUUGGUUCUACAUUAAGAUACUUCUUCUGACUUGCAGGAAUACCAAAGUUUCAGAAUUGGUAGCGAUGGAAAUUUCCAAGGUGUUGGCCUUUUCAUAAACUCAGAACCAAGAACCGGUCACCUGGUUAGUGCAGACCUCAAACACGUCUUGAGACCUAAUACGCUUGGUUUUUCAUUUUUCUUCAAUACUGAUUCAUUUUGUGAGCAUGAAGUAGAUAGAUCUUGUUUCAUGGUAGAGCCCAAUGUAGGUUGUUCUGUCUUGCAUAGAAGGUAGCCCGGCAUAUCGUGCUGGAAUACACCAAGGAGAGGAAUUGAUCGAGAUAAAUGGUACAAUGUUAUGUCCUAAUCCUACUAACUUUUUUUCUGUCUUUCUAGAAAUUGGCUGUAACUCUGUUUAUGGGAUUUCAGGUGAGAAAAUGGAUGGUAUUGAUAGUGAAGCAGCAGCACAGAAGCUGAGAGGCCGAGUUGGAACAUUUGUUACCAUAAAACUCAAAUGUGUACUAUUCUUUGUCUUCUCUAUUGAUUCCAUAUGCAUUCUCUUUGUCGAAAACCCUGUAUACUUGAGAUCAAACCAUCUAAGUUAUUGUCUCGUCUUGCAGGUGAAUGGAUCAGGGACAGGGUCUGGUAUCAGAGAGGUACAGUUACCGCUGUUUAUGUUAGAUUUGUUAGGUUACUUACUAAAUAAGUAUAUAUUGUAUAUGUAAAGGUCAAGGUACCCCGAGAUUACAUUAAGCUAUCACCAAUAUCCAGUACUAUAAUCCCACAUACAACACCUGAUGGACGUUCAGCAAAGACCGGUUAUGUCAAACUCACAGCAUUUUCUCAGGUUAAUCUUGUGAAAACCAAAAACAAAUGAAGAGGAGAAUUGCAAUAUAUAAGCUCAUUGUUUCAAUUCUUCCGACAGACAGCAGCAUCCGAUAUGAUAAAUGCGGUACAUGAGAUGGAGAAUCAGGAUGUUCAGUCAUACAUUCUGGACCUAAGAAACAAUCCGGUAAAUUUCAGGUUUUGGUUUUGACAACGAGUUUUCGGGUGUUUGUUCAUUUUCGACACUUAGCUUUUUGACAUUUCCAUUUCAGGGAGGUCUGGUUAAAGCUGGACUCGAUGUUGCACAGUUAUGGCUUGAUGGAGAUGAGACCCUUGUGUAUACAAUUGACCGAGAAGGGGUUACAUUACCUAUAAAUAUGAUUGAUGGACACGCUGUGACACAUGAUCCACUUGUCGUGCUUGUAAGUAUGUAGUAAUGUAUUUAUGUACACUUGUAAGUAUGAAUUAAUGUUAUAUACAAGUUGGCUAGGUGAAUAAUAGAUAGAUCCAAUGAAAUUUAGGUUAAUUCGGGUCGGAGAAUGUAUAAGCCUAAUGUUUCCGGUUAAGUUUGGUUUAUAAGUCCACUCCCAAUUAAUGUUUCGGUCAAAUAUUGGAAAGGUGAAUGAAGGAAGUGCGAGUGCAAGUGAGAUUUUGGCAGGUGCCUUACACGAUAACGGUCGAGCUAUACUUGUCGGUAACCGGACAUUUGGGAAAGGAAAAAUCCAGGUGCAUGCAUAAGUCAGCUUUAAACAAUUCAAAUAUACAAAUCUUGAACUUGUGAAAACAAAAUUAUGAUUGUAUGAUUGGCGAUUUUGCAAGAGCGUAACAGAGCUAAACGAUGGGUCGGCUUUGUUUGUGACGGUGGCUAAGUAUUUGUCUCCGUCUCUACACGAAAUUGAUCAAGUAGGGAUCUCACCUGAUGUACAGUGUACCUCGGAUAUGAUCGAUUCUUUGACCGGUGAGAUACUUGAGAAGACGAACAGUUCAAUUCCAAUGCUUGAAGCAGACUCAUGUGUUAUGGUCGCGGAGCACGAACUUGAGACUCGACAAUCCAAUGGAACAGCUUCUUGAGGGGGUUUCUCGUGAAUUAAUAUAGGAUAAGUUUAUGGCCGUGUAUAUAUUGAUAGUUCAAUGUAUGUGUAAAACUAUUUGGCACUUACUUGUGCCGUGAUAUUAAUUAAUACUGAAAUACAUCAGUAAAAGCGUAUUUAAACUCAACAAUUAUCGGACAAAGGAACUUUACAUCUUAUUCGUAUAUUCAAACUUUAAAAGUCCUAAAUGCUGAGAAAAACAAAAUAAAAUGUCUUGGAUGAGAAAAAAAUCUGAUUAUAAAAGGAUGGUGAAUUUCAUGAGAAGACCAAAUCAAACGCCGUUAACUCGGUUGGAAUACCGAAUACGCAGUGCUCCAGUUUCAGUGUGAGCGAUCGAUAUUUGUCUUUCCGACAUUAUCUUUUUGGUAGAUUUACUAGGGUCUAGGUACCUUAUAAUAAUAUUAAAUGAGCCAGCCCAAACAAACACUUUAAUCCCAUUUGGUAUUACCAUAAACGGGUCAAAAGGCACAAGACCAUUGAUUGUCCAAACACUACCUGCGUUUAGAACUUUAAAUUUCACACCAUGCUUUUUCUUUUUGGUCAAAAUAUGAGCUAAUUUCUGUUUUAAACUUUGAAUUACAAACCAAACCAAUGGUUUGAUUUCUUUGUUUAUAAUUGUAGUUUUACCACGAAUAUUCUUCGAAUUAGCCAACGAGUGAUGACUUAUAAUAUACACGUUGUUUGGUUUAUUUGGGCUUGUAAUAGCUUUUUGUACCCUCUUUGUGGGGAAUAACUCUUCUGUUAAUUUGAAUGAAGUACUAGUUUGUCCAAAAAAAUAAUUAAAAUACAUGUAUGCGGAAAAAAAAAUUAAAAUUUUAUUUUUCUACAUCGAAAUUGAAACUCAUGCAUGGAGUCAUGUUAUAAUGUAACAAGAAUACAGAUGACCGAAAAGAAUGUAACAAGAAUACAGAAACAGCAAUGCUAAAAUCAAGCUAAGCCACAUAUUGCAAGUCUUUUCACCGUAAUUAUAGUUAUAAUUAGUUAAAUUUUGACCACCUUAAAACUUCUGUUAUUUUUAGUAAAGAAUUUGUUUUUUUUCUCUAAAAAUAACACAAGUUCCACACAUAUAAAUUGGCCAUGAACACCAUCCAUAUUCCUCAGACCUGCAAGAACUUGAAAAAAAAAAGAAACAAAAAAAAAAACACUAAAUAAAAAAAGAAGAAAAGAAAAAGCCUUUCAGGUCUCAACAAUGGAGAUGAAGAAGAUUGCUUGCGGUGUGCUUUUCGCUGCUGCCUCUAUGACCGCCGUCAUGGCUGCUGAGGAAGCCGGAGCUCCGGCACCAGGACCCGCUACAGCUGCCGCCUCGGCUGCUUUGCCAGCUCUUGGCUCUUUGGUUGGGGCUUCCCUUGUGUCCCUCUUCAGCUACUACUUGCACUAAGCUAAUCUUUCAUUAUUCUGUAAUAAUUAAAAAAAAAAAGACACUAAUUAUGUGAUCUUGUUCAUUUCCUCCCUACCUAUUUCCAUUUCACUUGUUUAUUAAUAAAACUGAGAAAGUGAUUUCUUGAAUAAACGAACUUUCUCUGAUAGUGUAUUGAUUUCAAAUCUGGGUUUAGCCCCUCCUGAUGGGAAGAUUAGACAAAUACUAGAAGUUGACUAUAGUGAAGAUUAUAAAAAAAAAUUGUCAGCAAAUAUAUAUUAUAUGCAAAUAUAUAUAUAUUAUAAAAAAAAUUGAUAUUGUUAAUUUUGGAAGGUUAAUAUAUAAAAGGAAUGUA
This 14532-nucleotide long non-coding RNA is filed under the name Capsella rubella. Its description in RNAcentral is "long non-coding RNA (CRUB_LNC002863)". The record is from RNAcentral. Lineage: Eukaryota; Viridiplantae; Streptophyta; Magnoliopsida; Brassicales; Brassicaceae.